Molecule: ribosomal RNA, 468 nt
Filed under: uncultured bacterium
Lineage: Bacteria
Description: partial 16S ribosomal RNA
Rfam family: Bacterial small subunit ribosomal RNA
Source: RNAcentral
GACGAACGCUGGCGGCGUGCUUAACACAUGCAAGUCGAACGGGAAGGCCCUGCUUUUGUGGGGUGCUCGAGUGGCGAACGGGUGAGUAACACGUGAGUAACCUGCCCUUGACUUUGGGAUAACUUCAGGAAACUGAGGCUAAUACCGGAUAGGAGCUCCUGCUGCAUGGUGGGGGUUGGAAAGUUUCGGCGGUUGGGGAUGGACUCGCGGCUUAUCAGCUUGUUGGUGGGGUAGUGGCUUACCAAGGCUUUGACGGGUAGCCGGCCUGAGAGGGUGACCGGCAACAUUGGGACUGAGAUACGGCCCAGACUCCUACGGGAGGCAGCAGUGGGGAAUAUUGCACAAUGGGCGGAAGCCUGAUGCAGCAACGCCGCGUGCGGGAUGACGGCCUUCGGGUUGUAAACCGCUUUCGCCUGUGACGAAGCGUGAGUGACGGUAAUGGGUAAAGAAGCACCGGCUAACUACGUG